RNAcentral lists this ribosomal RNA (301 nucleotides) under uncultured bacterium. Its description in RNAcentral is "partial 16S ribosomal RNA". It matches the Rfam family "Bacterial small subunit ribosomal RNA", at positions 509 to 807 of the family's 1533-position model. The record is from RNAcentral.
CAGUAGCCGCGGUAAUACGAAGGGUGCAAGCGUUAAUCGGAAUUACUGGGCGUAAAGCGUGCGUAGGCGGUUUGUUAAGUCUGCUGUGAAAUCCCCGGGCUCAACCUGGGAAUUGCAGUGGAUACUGGGUCACUAGAGUGUGGUAGAGGAUAGUGGAAUUUCCGGUGUAGCAGUGAAAUGCGUAGAGAUCGGAAGGAACAUCUGUGGCGAAGGCGACUAUCUGGGCCAACACUGACACUGAGGCACGAAAGCGUGGGGAGCAAACAGGAUUAGAGACCCCUGUAGUCCCUGUCUAUUAUAC